GAGUUUGAUCCUGGCUCAGAGCGAACGCUGGCGGCAGGCUUAACACAUGCAAGUCGAGCGGGCCCUUCGGGGUCAGCGGCAGACGGGUGAGUAACACGUGGGAACGUACCCUUUGGUUCGAAAUAACGCUGGGAAACUAGCGCUAAUACCGGAUACGCCCUUUUGGGGAAAGGCUUGCUGCCGAAGGAUCGGCCCGCGUCUGAUUAGCUAGUUGGUGGGGUAAUGGCCUACCAAGGCGACGAUCAGUAGCUGGUYUGAGAGGAUGAUCAGCCACACUGGGACUGAGACACGGCCCAGACUCCUACGGGAGGCAGCAGUGGGGAAUAUUGGACAAUGGGCGCAAGCCUGAUCCAGCCAUGCCGCGUGAGUGAUGAAGGCCUUAGGGUUGUAAAGCUCUUUUGUCCGGGACGAUAAUGACGUACUGAAGAU
This 429-nucleotide ribosomal RNA is filed under the name uncultured Pseudomonadota bacterium. RNAcentral's name for it is "bacterial SSU rRNA". Lineage: Bacteria; Pseudomonadati; Pseudomonadota. The record is from RNAcentral.